This is a non-coding RNA of Mauremys reevesii (Reeves's turtle), 925 nucleotides long. The record is from the annotation of a RefSeq genome assembly. NCBI's taxonomy places the organism in Eukaryota, Metazoa, Chordata, Testudines, Geoemydidae.
CGGAACUGCCCGGUCCUGCCCGCUGGGGAGUGUCUCCAUUAGCCAUCACCAUGACACUGUCACUGCUCUGCUCCCUUUUCCUACUCGCUGCCCCGUCAGGUGUCCUCUCCCAGGUGCAGCUGGUCCAGACUGGCCCGGGAGCGAUGAAACCCGGAGAGACCCUCAGUAUCACCUGUAAGGUUUCUGGAGUCUCCGUCAGCAGCUACUAUUGGAGCUGGGUCCGGCAGCCCGCUGGGAAAGGGCUGGAGUGGAUGGGGCGCAUCCAGAGCACUGCAGCGGGAGGCAGCACGGAGUACAGCUCGGCUUUCAGUAGCCGGAUCACCAUCACCAGGGACACCUCGAAGGACGAAGUUUAUCUCCAGCUGCGCUCGCUGACAGCUGCAGACACCGGCACCUAUUACUGCGCCAGGGACACAGUGACACAGAGCAGAGCAGGACUGGCACAAAAAGAGGAAGCGAGUUCCGCGCAGACACUCAGGGCCCUUUUACACAAACGUCCCUGCUCCUGGUAGCAGGGAAACAUUCACUCUUCUGGCCAUUAUUAUCUCACAAUCACUGGGCAGGGGCUGUCACCUCAGAGAACCGACAUGGGUGAUGAUGGGACUGAUCUACAGCCCUUUGGAACCAAUGAAACUCUCGCCUCUGAUUUCACACAACUUCGGUUGUUGUGGCCAUAAGAAAGAUCUACACGGUGCGAGCAGAUCCACAGCUGGAAUCAAUGAUCACAGAUCCACUGGAUUCAAUAUAGCAGCUACCCCUGAUUAUGCCAGCUGGCAAUCUGGAACUUUUAUUCAAACAGUUAAACACUCUAGUAAACACAUGGGAGCUAUUCAUCCAAUGGGAUUUGGGUGCCUAACUCCCUUAGGUUCCUUUGAAAAUCCGAGUCUUUCAUAGGAGGAGGUUCCAUCUAUACAUUUAGAACUAA